UGGUCAGUAGUUGUUUAGUUUUACUUUCUACUUUUAUUUAUGAAAUGGAAUCUAUUAACUAAGUUAAUUAGCUAAUUAAUUCAUGGUUAAGUUCUUAAGUUUUUGACUAGAAGUGUAAUUUGGGCCUUAAAGGUAAUUGGAGGAAGAGAGUUCUUUUAGCGCUUAAUUUUAUGGAUAGAAAGAAUUUUCACGGAAAUAAUUAAAGUUAAUUUCUUGAAGUCUUCCACGGGUACCAAUUUUAUAGGCUCAAUUCUAUUUUAUGAACUUCUGGAUGGUUUUGGCAGAUACGUUUAGGCCAGAUCUAGUAUGUUAAAAUGAAAGAAACCUACUUCAUGGAUGCUUGUUGAUUGUAUGCUUGCUAGAUCUGCGGUUGCUUUGAUUUUAUUUGCCUGUUUAGGAAUAGGUGAAUUCAUAAACUUUAUGGAAAAAUUGAAUUUUUACCGCGUGACUUGUGGAGAUUGUGUCUUUGACUAUGGAAUCUAUUAACUAAGUUAAUUAGCUAAUUAAUUCAUGGAUAAGUUCUUGACGUCUUCCAUGAGUACCAAUUUUAUAGGCUCAAUUCUAUUUUAUGAACUUCUGGAUGGGUUUGGCAGAUACAUUUAGGCCAGAUCUAGCAUGUUAAAAUGAAAGAAACCUACUUCAUGGAUGCUUGUUGAUUGUAUGCUUGCUAGAUCUGUGGUUGCUUUGAUUUUCUUUGCCUGUUUAGGAAUAGUUGAAUUCAUAAACUUUAUGGAAAAAUUGAAUUUUUACUGCGUAACUUGUGGAGAUUGUGUCUUUGACUAUUAAUUUGGG
Molecule: long non-coding RNA, 792 nt
Filed under: Olea europaea (common olive)
Lineage: Eukaryota; Viridiplantae; Streptophyta; Magnoliopsida; Lamiales; Oleaceae
Description: long non-coding RNA (OEUR_LNC008416)
Source: RNAcentral